Molecule: long non-coding RNA, 368 nt
Organism: Phascolarctos cinereus (koala)
Lineage: Eukaryota; Metazoa; Chordata; Mammalia; Diprotodontia; Phascolarctidae
Source: RefSeq, a predicted model, not a curated record
UAGGUCUUCAUAAUGAAACUUGGAGCUGUGAAUUUGGACCUGAGAUGUACCCCAUGAGGAAUCAGGUACCACAGUUUAGAAGAAAGUCUGGUAAGUGAGUGUGAGUCCUUAAGAGGGCAACCAGGAUGGUGAUGAUUGUGGAGAUCAUGACAUCUGAAGAUCAAUUUGAAGAAGCUAAGGAUGUUUGGCCUGAAGAAGAGAUGAGCCAGGGAGGACAUGAUAACUGUGUUCAAGUAUCUGAAGGUGGGGAAACUGAAGUCCUAAAGAAGGAAUGAUUUGCCAAAGGACUCAUAAGGAGUAAGUAGCAGAUAGGGGGGCAGAGACAAGAUGGCAGAGUGAAAGCAGUGACUUGCUUGAGCUCUCCCCCA